This 366-nucleotide ribosomal RNA is filed under the name uncultured archaeon. Its description in RNAcentral is "bacterial SSU rRNA". It matches the Rfam family "Archaeal small subunit ribosomal RNA", at positions 347 to 712 of the family's 1478-position model. The record is from RNAcentral.
ACUUUACAAUGCGGGAAACCGUGAUAAGGGGACACCGAGUGCUAGCAUCAUAUGCUAGCUGUCCAGGCGUGUAAACUACGCCUGUUAGCAAGGGCCGGGCAAGACCGGUGCCAGCCGCCGCGGUAAUACCGGCGGCUCGAGUGGUGGCCACUAUUACUGGGCUUAAAGCGUCCGUAGCUUGGUUGUUAAGUCUCCUGGGAAAUCCAUCGGCUCAACCGAUGGGCGUUCAGGAGAUACUGGCAACCUAGGGACCCGGGAGAGGUGAGAGGUACUCCAGGGGUAGGAGUGAAAUCCUGUAAUCCUUGGGGGACCACCUGUGGCGAAGGCGUCUCACUAGAACGGCUCCGACAGUGAGGGACGAAAGCU